Molecule: long non-coding RNA, 883 nt
Filed under: Lytechinus variegatus (green sea urchin)
Lineage: Eukaryota; Metazoa; Echinodermata; Echinoidea; Temnopleuroida; Toxopneustidae
Description: uncharacterized LOC121414201, transcript variant X2
Source: RNAcentral
AAGGCUUGGGUAGAUCGUAAAGUUUCUUGCAGAGUUUCGCAGGAUUCAUGGUGAGGACCUAAUCACACUGUUCAACCAAGGACUACAAAGACUGGCAGAACCCCUUUCUGGACUUCACAAAGAUAGAUGCAAAUGAGCCAAGAAAGAUGUGACAGUUUACUUCCCGGAAGCUAAGAAGAAAUUGCCAUACAGAUUCUACCAACCUUUUUCAAGGAAGACCUGGUGAUAUAUUCAUCUCAAGUGACAAGGUUGAUACGAAGCCCAUGUACAUAUGUGUAUCCUGCAAUCAAGAGGAAUCAUAUGAGCUUGUUCUGGAGGAGCAAAGAGUCUGUCAAGUCCAGGAUAAAGUGCAUGCAUUGGCUUGUUAAGUAGCUGGUUUUUAUUUUUCAUUCAGCCUAUGGCUAUGAGCCAUCAGUCAUGAAAAUUCGUGAGUUUUGCCAACUUGGAAUUCUUCAGGUGAAAGAUGCAUGUCCUGUUGAUAAAUCUGUUAUCAACCUUCUGAACAUGUUGAAGAAGAAAGUGCCCUCCAAACAGGGAAGUAACUGAAGUCUGGCUGAAGUCAUGGAACAGCUGUUUUUAAGUCACACAGCAUGUCCUUUAUGUUAAAAUUGUUACAAGUUGAAAGAUUGUAAGUACAGUUGUAUUGAUAAAUUGUGAUUUUUUGAAAGAGAUUUGAAAAAGAAAGUUUAAAGUCACAUUCAGAGCACAGUAGAUGGAGAUGGCUCACACACUUGAUGAAGCAUAUUCUAUGGAAGCUCAAAAGUGCCACCGAGAUGUUGAGAAGUCGACAUCAUGGUAGCAAAAGAUCAAAUGACGAGAUCCUGGAUCUCAUCAUGUCCACAUCUUUCAGAAGAGAUGAUCAGCAGACAAGAUCCCGGAUCUC